This 500-nucleotide ribosomal RNA is filed under the name uncultured eukaryote. RNAcentral's name for it is "SSU rRNA". The stretch from base 1 to 440 matches the Rfam family "Eukaryotic small subunit ribosomal RNA", at positions 1392 to 1831 of the family's 1831-position model. The record is from RNAcentral.
CACUAUCUGGUAGAGCUUCUUAGAGGGACGUUCUUCUACAAGAUGAAGGAAGAUGGCGGCAUAACAGGUCUGUGAUGCCCUUAUAUGUCCUGGGCCGCACGCGCGUUACACUGAUGCACUCAACGAGCAUAUAACCUUGGCCGAGAGGCCUGGGUAAUCUUGAUAACAUGCAUCGUGAUAGGGAUAAAUUAUUGCAAUUAUUAAUCUUGAACGAGGAAUUCCUAGUAAUCGCGGUUCAUCAAACCGCAAUGAUUACAUCCCUGCCCUUUGUACACACCGCCUGUCGCACCUACCGAUUGAAUGGUCCGGUGAGGACUCGGGAUUGUGGUUUGGCUCCUUUAUUGGGGCCUGACCGCGAGAACUUGUCCGAACCUUAUCAUUUAAAGGAAGGUGAAGUCGUAACAAGGUUUUCGUACGUGAUUUUUUUAUAAGGAUCCAAAGGGCGAAUACUGCCGAUACCCUUCACGCUGGGCGACGGUAAAGCAUGCAUCUAGAUUCGU